UUUCCGUAGGUGAACCUGCGGAAGGAUCAUUACUGGGUUUCGGACCUCGCGUCCACUCACCCGCCCUUUGUCAUAUACAUCCACAUCAUUUCGGCCCCUGGCUCUCGGACGCCCCCGCUAUUAGCUUAGCGGGGUACCGCCCGUCUGCCGCGGGUCGGCAUUGCAAACCCACGCGGAUUUCUGAAGUCUGAUACAAUUUUUUAAACGAAAUUAAAACUUUCAACAACGGAUCUCUUGGUUCUGGCAUCGAUGAAGAACGCAGC
This 263-nucleotide unclassified non-coding RNA is filed under the name uncultured fungus. Its description in RNAcentral is "sequence contains ITS1, 5.8S rRNA gene". The stretch from base 215 to 263 matches the Rfam family "5.8S ribosomal RNA", at positions 1 to 49 of the family's 154-position model. Lineage: Eukaryota; Fungi. The record is from RNAcentral.